RNAcentral lists this ribosomal RNA (169 nucleotides) under Lodderomyces elongisporus. Its description in RNAcentral is "partial 28S ribosomal RNA". It matches the Rfam family "Eukaryotic large subunit ribosomal RNA", at positions 1 to 167 of the family's 3401-position model. Lineage: Eukaryota; Fungi; Ascomycota; Pichiomycetes; Serinales; Debaryomycetaceae. The record is from RNAcentral.
UUCGACCUCAAAUCAGGUAGGAUUACCCACUGAACUUAAGCAUAUCAAUAAGCGGAGGAAAAGAAACCAACAGGGAUUGCCUUAGUAGCGGCGAGUGAAGCGGCAAUAGCUCAAAUUUGAAAUCUGGCACUUUCAGUGUCCGAGUUGUAAUUUGAAGAAGGUAUCUUUG